Molecule: non-coding RNA, 98 nt
Filed under: uncultured Gemmiger sp.
Lineage: Bacteria; Bacillati; Bacillota; Clostridia; Eubacteriales; Oscillospiraceae
Description: PreQ1-III riboswitch
Rfam family: PreQ1-III (pre queuosine) riboswitch aptamer
Source: RNAcentral
GAGCAACUUAGGAUUUUAGGCUCCGCUGUGCCAAGGCACGGCGCAAACCGACGCGAGGCUGGCGGUCUUGCGUGCGGUCAAAAUCUAUUCCGCCGGAG